GUUUCUCAUUGCUUUCUCAAUUUUGUGCAAAAUAAUCAAGUUGGGUUGAAUAAAGUGACGACGUCGCCCACCCCUCCGGCCACCCAAAACUGGGAAACCAGAGAGGCCCUUGAUCUCAAGAAGAUCAGAGUGAAGAGCGACACCGAAAAACAGACGUUCGUGGUUCACAGUGGUGUCAGUGCGAACGCGAGAGCCUUGAGAGCUCCCACUCCGACUUUUGGAUAUUUCUUAAUGAUCCAACCGCAGGUUCACCUACGGUUA
Molecule: unclassified non-coding RNA, 261 nt
Filed under: uncultured fungus
Lineage: Eukaryota; Fungi
Description: sequence contains ITS1
Source: RNAcentral